RNAcentral lists this transfer RNA (93 nucleotides) under Dehalococcoidia bacterium. RNAcentral describes it as "tRNA-Tyr". It matches the Rfam family "tRNA". Rfam says of the family: Transfer RNA (tRNA) molecules are approximately 80 nucleotides in length. Their secondary structure includes four short double-helical elements and three loops (D, anti-codon, and T loops). Further hydrogen bonds mediate the characteristic L-shaped molecular structure. tRNAs have two regions of fundamental functional importance: the anti-codon, which is responsible for specific mRNA codon recognition, and the 3' end, to which the tRNAs corresponding amino acid is attached (by aminoacyl-tRNA synthetases). tRNAs cope with the degeneracy of the genetic code in two manners: having more than one tRNA (with a specific anti-codon) for a particular amino acid; and 'wobble' base-pairing, i.e. permitting non-standard base-pairing at the 3rd anti-codon position. The record is from RNAcentral. Lineage: Bacteria; Bacillati; Chloroflexota; Dehalococcoidia.
GGAGGGGUGGUAGCUGUUGGUAGGCUGCACCGGGCUGUAAACCCGGACACCGUAAAAAGUGCAUCGGGGGUUCAAUUCCCUUUCCCUCCACCA